Molecule: ribosomal RNA, 253 nt
Filed under: uncultured bacterium
Lineage: Bacteria
Description: partial 16S ribosomal RNA
Rfam family: Bacterial small subunit ribosomal RNA
Source: RNAcentral
UACGAAGGGGGCUAGCGUUGCUCGGAAUUACUGGGCGUAAAGGGCGCGUAGGCGGACAGUUUAGUCAGAGGUAAAAGCCCAGGGCUCAACCUUGGAACUGCCUUUGAUACUGGCUGUCUUGAGUUCGGGAGAGGUGAGUGGAAUGCCGAGUGUAGAGGUGAAAUUCGUAGAUAUUCGGCGGAACACCAGUGGCGAAGGCGACUCGCUGGCCCGAUACUGACGCUGAGGCGCGAAAGCGUGGGGAGCAAACGGG